This 539-nucleotide non-coding RNA is filed under the name marine gamma proteobacterium HTCC2148. RNAcentral's name for it is "Bacterial small subunit ribosomal RNA". It matches the Rfam family "Bacterial small subunit ribosomal RNA", at positions 9 to 546 of the family's 1533-position model. Lineage: Bacteria; Pseudomonadati; Pseudomonadota; Gammaproteobacteria; Cellvibrionales; Halieaceae. The record is from Rfam by way of RNAcentral.
GAGUUUGAUCAUGGCUCAGAUUGAACGCUGGCGGCAGGCCUAACACAUGCAAGUCGAGCGAGAAAGUACUUCGGUACGAGUAAAGCGGCGGACGGGUGAGUAACGCGUAGGAAUCUACCUGGUAGUGGGGGACAACAUGUGGAAACGCAUGCUAAUACCGCAUACGACCUAAGGGUGAAAGUGGGGGACCUUCGGGCCUCACGCUAUCGGAUGAGCCUGCGUAAGAUUAGCUAGUUGGUGAGGUAAGAGCUCACCAAGGCGACGAUCUUUAGCUGGUCUGAGAGGAUGAUCAGCCACACUGGGACUGAGACACGGCCCAGACUCCUACGGGAGGCAGCAGUGGGGAAUAUUGCGCAAUGGAGGAAACUCUGACGCAGCCAUGCCGCGUGUGUGAAGAAGGCCUUAGGGUUGUAAAGCACUUUCAAUUGGGAAGAAAGGUUGUACGUUAAUAGCGUGCAGCUGUGACAUUACCUUUAGAAGAAGCACCGGCUAACUCCGUGCCAGCAGCCGCGGUAAUACGGAGGGUGCGAGCGUUAAUC